GACGAACGCUGGCGGCGUGCUUAACACAUGCAAGUCGAACGGAAAGGCCCUGCUUUUGUGGGGUGCUCGAGUGGCGAACGGGUGAGUAACACGUGAGUAACCUGCCCUUGACUUUGGGAUAACUUCAGGAAACUGGGGCUAAUACCGGAUAGGAGCUCCUGCUGCAUGGUGGGGGUUGGAAAGUUUCGGCGGUUGGGGAUGGACUCGCGGCUUAUCAGCUUGUUGGUGGGGUAGUGGCUUACCAAGGCUUUGACGGGUAGCCGGCCUGAGAGGGUGACCGGCCACAUUGGACUGAGAUACGGCCCAGACUCCUACGGGAGGCAGCAGUGGGGAAUAUUGCACAAUGGGCAGAAGCCUGAUGCAGCAACGCCGCGUGCGGGAUGACGGCCUUCGGGUUGUAAACCGCUUUCGCCUGUGACGAAGCGUGAGUGACGGUAAUGGGUAAAGAAGCACCGGCUAACUACGUG
Molecule: ribosomal RNA, 467 nt
Filed under: uncultured bacterium
Lineage: Bacteria
Description: partial 16S ribosomal RNA
Rfam family: Bacterial small subunit ribosomal RNA
Source: RNAcentral